This is a long non-coding RNA of Nymphaea colorata (pocket water lily), 892 nucleotides long. RefSeq lists it as uncharacterized. The transcript is spliced from 2 exons. NCBI's taxonomy places the organism in Eukaryota, Viridiplantae, Streptophyta, Magnoliopsida, Nymphaeales, Nymphaeaceae. The record is from RefSeq and is a predicted model, not a curated record.
GCUCCUCCCCUUUAUAAAUAAAUACAAGGAGAGGGACGAGAGGAUACUUGCUACUGAGAAACCACAUGCCAGCACCUCGACCCAUAAAAGAGCCCGAGGGAGAGGGACCCCCCACGGCCCACCUAAAAAAUUCCACUCAAGACCAACUGGUCUGAAGGGCCGAUGAAGGAUUGGUAGUUGGUCUCUGUGCCUGCGACCGGCCAUUGCACACAACCACACACCCCUCUCUCCUCCUCCUGGCCAUGUUUCUCUAUCUGCAUAACAAACUCGUCAUUGCCAUGGUUCUCUCUUCGCUGUUGUUGUUUACCACUUCCUCUUCCUCUUCUUCCCUGUUCUGUUCUGCAACUCAUGGCGUUACUGUCGUUGAUGGUUCGGUCUCUGUGUAGGCUCAUGGUGUCGCUUAUCGGCCGGCCCGUGGCUUCCUUCACCACAAUCUUGUAUUACAGCGAUCUGUUGCCACGGAAUGUGAACUUAGAGCGCCUGGUUGAGAACGAUCUUCUGGAGAGGGAGAACUAUCUGUUCCAUUGUAUUAUUAACAUUUUGAGGUGUUUUUGGUGACAAAACCCCAAAAUUCGACUCACUGUUGAGGAUUUGAUAUUCUUAUUUCCGGGGUUUCUUUUCCUUUUUCCCUUUUUUCCCUCCAUACAAUGUUGCAAUGGCGAACAGUUUUCAGAGAGCAAUGCAAUGCAAGUACGGCUGCUUCUUACUUCUGCAGACUCAUCGCUUUUGAUUAGACGAAAUGGUGGUAAGCACCCUCCGCUUUUCUUCCCGUGCGAGUUUGGUCUCUUCUUUUCUAAGGAAAUAAAGAGGAAAAGAUAUUUAAAUCUUUCCUUCUUCUGUAUGAUUUGGAAUCAGACAUAAGUACAGAUCGCUAUAUAUUUUUUGAUGCGUA